AACCUCCGCAAUGUGAGAAAUCGCGACGGGGGGAUCCCAAGUGCCAUUCUUAACGGGAUGGCUUUUCAUUAGUGUAAAGAGCUUUUGGAAUAAGAGCUGGGCAAGACCGGUGCCAGCCGCCGCGGUAACACCGGCAGCUCUAGUGGUAACAAUUUUUAUUGGGCCUAAAGCGUCCGUAGCCGGUUUAAUAAGUCUCUGGUGAAAUCCUGUAGCUUAACUGUGGGAAUUGCUGGAGAUACUAUUAGACUUGAGACCGGGAGAGGUUAGAGGUACUCCCAGGGUAGAGGUGAAAUUCUGUAAUCCUGGGAGGACCGCCUGUUGCGAAGGCGUCUAACUGGAACGGUUCCGACGGUGAGGGACGAAAGUUAGGGGCGCGAACCGGAUUAGAUACCCGGGUAGUCCUAACUGUAAACGAUGCGGACUUGGUGUUGGGUGGCUUUGAGCUGCUCCAGUGCCGAAGGGAAGCUGUUAAGUCCGCCGCCUGGGAAGUACGGUCGCAAGACUGAAACUUAAGGAAUU
RNAcentral lists this ribosomal RNA (519 nucleotides) under uncultured bacterium. RNAcentral's name for it is "bacterial SSU rRNA". It matches the Rfam family "Archaeal small subunit ribosomal RNA", at positions 345 to 866 of the family's 1478-position model. The record is from RNAcentral.